UGACGAGCGGCGGACGGGUGAGUAAUGUAUGGGGAUCUGCCUGAUGGCGGGGGAUAACUACUGGAAACGGUAGCUAAUACCGCAUAAUGUCUACGGACCAAAGCGGGGGACCUCCGGGCCUCGCGCCAUCAGAUGAACCCAUAUGGGAUUAGCUAGUAGGUAAGGUAACGGCUUACCUAGGCGACGAUCCCUAGCUGGUCUGAGAGGAUGAUCAGCCACACUGGGACUGAGACACGGCCCAG
This 242-nucleotide ribosomal RNA is filed under the name uncultured bacterium. Its description in RNAcentral is "partial 16S ribosomal RNA". It matches the Rfam family "Bacterial small subunit ribosomal RNA", at positions 89 to 334 of the family's 1533-position model. The record is from RNAcentral.